Molecule: long non-coding RNA, 1617 nt
Organism: Nerophis lumbriciformis (worm pipefish)
Lineage: Eukaryota; Metazoa; Chordata; Actinopteri; Syngnathiformes; Syngnathidae
Source: RefSeq, a predicted model, not a curated record
UGUGGAGUUUGCAUGUUCUCCCCGUGACUGCGUGGGUUCCCUCCGGGUACUCCGGCUUCCUCCCACCUCCAAAGACAUGCACCUGGGGAUAAGUUGAUUGGCAACACUAAAUUGGCCCUAGUGUGUGAAUGUGAGUGUGAAUGUUGUCUAUCUGUGUUGGCCCUGCGAUGAGGUGGCGACUUGUCCAGGGUGUACCCCGCCUUCCGCCCGAUUGUAGCUGAGAUAGGCUCCAGCGCCCCCCGCGACCCCAAUGGGAAUAAAAAUGGAUGGAUGGAUAGAAUUGGAUUGAGCCUUUUUUUUAUGGCGUACAGUGUGUAAAAAAAAAAGUCACUUUUCUAGCAGAUAUAUUUCUCACAUUUAGCUAACUUUUCUCACAUUCGACUAAUUUUUCUUGAGUUUAGUUUAUUUUCAUCACAUUUAAGUUUAGAAUAAAUGUUGAUCCUAAAUGUAGAUCUAAAUGUUAAAUCCAUUUCUAAAUGUUAAAUCUAAAUGUAAAUAUUAAAUCCAAACCUACAUUUUUAAAUCUAAACCUUAUAUCUAAAUCUAAAUAAAAUUGUGACCGUUAUAUCUAAACCUAAAUGUGAAAUGUAAAUGUUAAAUCUACACCUAAAUGUUAAAUCUAAAUCUUAGAUAUAAAUCCUCUUGAUUUUUAGGUUUGGAUGUUUUCCGCCAAUCACUGGUUAAUUUUGUCAGAACCAUCACAAUGAAGUCACAUGAAGUUACAUGGGUGUGUUUCAUGGAGAAAGAAAACUAGCUAGGUAAAUUUUUGUGGAAAAAAUGGACAAAAGUAAGGAAAACAUAUUGGUAAUUGCUAUUUUACAAAUCAGCCUAAUUUAUAAAAAUGUCAUCUCUGUUGUAGGCACAUACAUGGAUGUCCAAGCCUGAUUGUGUUGGUGGAGAUUGUGGUACAGUGCUGCUCUUUCAGACUUAAAUCCACAUAAGCUCCAACUUGAGCGCCGUAGGCAGAGCAGCAACAAGGAUGAUGAGGUUGCCUAGCGACGUCUCAGUCACUGCACCUGAGGGUGCUGGGUAAACACCCAGAGCUUGCCAGAGGGAAGUAACAUCACUCUGUUCUUACUUGCGAACAUUAAAGGACGCUCUUUUGAAAUAUCUUUUUUUUUUGGUUCCUCAGGGUGGGAUUAUACAUUUAUCGGCUUACUUGAUUAGUGAACAGUCUGGUGGGACGUGUAAAGUGAAAGGCUCUCCUUUUCAAGUUAGUUCGAUGCUAAUUUACAUUGGAUAUGCCAUAUACAUGCUACUGAUAUUAGCAUUGGCCAUUUUACAUGGUGAAUUCAACACCUCUAAAUUUGCUAAUAAAAACUACAACUAAGAUUCGUGGUGUGUAAUAAGUACAAUAGUUACAGUAUAAACACUUUUUAGGAGGAGGUGUUUAGUAACUAGGGGCGGGUGUAUCGACAUUGACGGUAUCGAUACCAAGGUGAGUAUUGGUAUCUGAUAAAUACUCGCAUGAUGGACAAAACUAUUUUUGCUGAUGGCCUUCAUUAAAUUACUUGAGUUUUACUCGAGUUUUCUGUGACUACACUUUGCCCCACCCCUUAUCUGCUCUAUUGGUUUUAUUUUUUUACAAAUAUAUGCAUGUAAUCAAAAUAGUAAAAA